RNAcentral lists this ribosomal RNA (410 nucleotides) under uncultured bacterium. RNAcentral describes it as "bacterial SSU rRNA". It matches the Rfam family "Bacterial small subunit ribosomal RNA", at positions 355 to 776 of the family's 1533-position model. The record is from RNAcentral.
CAGGGAAUUUUGCACAAUGGGCGCAAGCCUGAUGCAGCGACGCCGCGUGGGGGAUGAAUGCCUUCGGGUUGUAAACCCCUUUCAGGAGGGACGAAGCGAAAGUGACGGUACCUCCAGAAGAAGCCCCGGCCAACUACGUGCCAGCAGCCGCGGUAAUACGUAGGGGGCGAGCGUUGUCCGGAUUUAUUGGGCGUAAAGAGCUCGUAGGCGGCUCAGCAAGUCGGCCGUGAAAGCCUGAGGCUCAACCUCAGGACGCCGGUCGAAACUGCUGUGGCUAGGGUCCGGUAGAGGAGAGUGGAAUUCCCGGUGUAGCGGUGAAAUGCGCAGAUAUCGGGAGGAACACCAGUAGCGAAGGCGGCUCUCUGGGCCGGUACCGACGCUGAGGAGCGAAAGCUAGGGGAGCAAACAGG